This 261-nucleotide ribosomal RNA is filed under the name uncultured bacterium. RNAcentral's name for it is "partial 16S ribosomal RNA". It matches the Rfam family "Bacterial small subunit ribosomal RNA", at positions 524 to 776 of the family's 1533-position model. The record is from RNAcentral.
UACGAAGGGGGCUAGCGUUGUUCGGAAUCACUGGGCGUAAAGCGCACGUAGGCGGAUCUUUUAAGUCAGGGGUGAAAUCCCAGAGCUCAACUCUGGGAACUGCCUUUGAUACUGGGGGAUCUCGAGUUCGGGGAGAGGUGAGUGGAACUGCGAGUGUAGAGGUGAAAAUUCGUAGAUAUUCGCAAGAACACCAGUGGCGAAGGCGGCUCACUGGCCCGAUACUGACGUGGAGGUGACGAAAGCGUGGGGGAGCAAAACAGG